RNAcentral lists this ribosomal RNA (434 nucleotides) under uncultured bacterium. RNAcentral describes it as "partial 16S ribosomal RNA". It matches the Rfam family "Bacterial small subunit ribosomal RNA", at positions 29 to 507 of the family's 1533-position model. The record is from RNAcentral.
AGCGAACGCUGGCGGCAGGCCUAACACAUGCAAGUCGAACGAACCUUUCGGGGUUAGUGGCGGACGGGUGAGUAACACGUGGGAACGUGCCUUUAGGUUCGGAAUAACUCAGGGAAACGUGUGCUAAUACCGAAUGUGCCCUCCGGGGGAAAUAUUUAUCGCCUUUAGAGCGGCCCGCGUCUGAUUAGCUAGUUGGUUGAGGUAAUGGCUCACCAAGGCGACGAUCAGUAGCUGGUCUGAGAGGAUGAACAGCCACAUUGGGACUGAGACACGGCCCAAACUCCUACGGGAGGCAGCAGUGGGGAAUCUUGCGCGAUGGGCGAGAGCCUGACGCAGCCAUGCCGCGUGAAUGAUGAAGGUCUUAGGAUUGUAAAAUUCUUUCACCGGUGACGAUAAUGACGGUACCCGGAGAAGAAGCCCCGGCUAACUUCGUG